UAGGGAAUAUUGCGCAAUGGGGGAAACCCUGACGCAGCGACGCCGCGUGAGUGAUGAAGGCCUUCGGGUCGUAAAGCUCUGUUGCAGGGGAAUAAGAAAGUGAAUGUACCCUGUGAGGAAGGACCGGCUAACUUCGUGCCAGCAGCCGCGGUAAGACGAGGGGUCCUAGCGUUGUUCGGAAUCAUUGGGCGUAAAGCGUGUGUAGGUGGCUAUGUAAGUCAGGUGUGAAAUCCCCGGGCUCAACCUGGGAAGUGCAUUUGAUACUGCGUAGCUUGAGUACGAGAGAGGUAAGUGGAAUUCCUAGUGUAGAGGUGAAAUUCGUAGAUAUUAGGAAGAACACCGGUGGCGAAGGCGGCUCACUGGCUCGAUACUGACACUGAGGUGCGAAAGCGUGGGGAGCAAACAGGAUUAGAUACCCCAGUAGUCCCUGAGCGGGCUGGCAAGGCGCAU
This 450-nucleotide ribosomal RNA is filed under the name uncultured bacterium. Its description in RNAcentral is "bacterial SSU rRNA". It matches the Rfam family "Bacterial small subunit ribosomal RNA", at positions 355 to 825 of the family's 1533-position model. The record is from RNAcentral.